This 300-nucleotide long non-coding RNA is filed under the name Homo sapiens (human). RNAcentral's name for it is "HSALNT0328646". Lineage: Eukaryota; Metazoa; Chordata; Mammalia; Primates; Hominidae. The record is from RNAcentral.
GGUGGAGCUAGGGAAAGCCUUCAUGGAAAGGGUUUCAUCUUUCUGAACAUUCACCACACUGGUGGACAAAUCCUUUUUGUGUGAGGAAGAUGUGGCUGUUGGGAGAGUCAAGUAAUUGAAUGACGUGAAUUUCCUGGAGUUUCCAUAAGUUCCUGUAAAUUUAGCCUCCAACUGAAAUAAACCAACUGGAUUGCAUUAGAUUUCAAGAGGCUGUGCCAGGGCAGGGAGGACAACCAUCUCAACAGAGACUUCAGCUACAUUUAACUCCAGUAGGUCCACAAACAUCAGUCCAUGUAGGUA